GCUCAGAUAUGACGAUGGACAUUGCAAAGAGUGGCGAACGGGUGAGUAACACGUGGGAAACCUACCUCUUAGCAGGGGAUAACAUUUGGAAACAGAUGCUAAUACCGUAUAACAAUGACAACCGCAUGGUUGUUAUUUAAAAGAUGGUUCUGCUAUCACUAAGAGAUGGUCCCGCGGUGCAUUAGCUAGUUGGUAAGGUAAUGGCUUACCAAGGCGAUGAUGCAUAGCCGAGUUGAGAGACUGAUCGGCCACAAUGGGACUGAGACACGGCCCAUACUCCUACGGGAGGCAGCAGUAGGGAAUCUUCCACAAUGGGCGAAAGCCUGAUGGAGCAACGCCGCGUGUGUGAUGAAGGGUUUCGGCUCGUAAAACACUGUUGUAAGAGAAGAAUGACAUUGAGAGUAACUGUUCAAUGUGUGACGGUAUCUUACCAGAAAGGAACGGCUAAAUACGUGCCAGCAGCCGCGGUAAUACGUAUGUUCCAAGCGUUAUCCGGAUUUAUUGGGCGUAAAGCGAGCGCAGACGGUUAUUUAAGUCUGAAGUGAAAGCCCUCAGCUCAACUGAGGAAUUGCUUUGGAAACUGGAUGACUUGAGUGCAGUAGAGGAAAGUGGAACUCCAUGUGUAGCGGUGAAAUGCGUAGAUAUAUGGAAGAACACCAGUGGCGAAGGCGGCUUUCUGGACUGUAACUGACGUUGAGGCUCGAAAGUGUGGGUAGCAAACAGGAUUAGAUACCCUGGUAGUCCACACCGUAAACGAUGAGUGCUAGGUGUUUGAGGGUUUCCGCCCUUAAGUGCCGCAGCUAACGCAUUAAGCACUCCGCCUGGGGAGUACGACCGCAAGGUUGAAACUCAAAGGAAUUGACGGGGACCCGCACAAGCGGUGGAGCAUGUGGUUUAAUUCGAAGCAACGCGAAGAACCUUACCAGGUCUUGACAUCCCUUGACAACUCCAGAGAUGGAGCGUUCCCUUCGGGGACAAGGUGACAGGUGGUGCAUGGUUGUCGUCAGCUCGUGUCGUGAGAUGUUGGGUUAAGUCCCGCAACGAGCGCAACCCUUAUUACUAGUUGCCAGCAUUCAGUUGGGCACUCUAGUGAGACUGCCGGUGACAAACCGGAGGAAGGUGGGGAUGACGUCAAAUCAUCAUGCCCCUUAUGACCUGGGCUACACACGUGCUACAAUGGCGUAUACAACGAGUUGCCAACCCGCGAGGGUGAGCUAAUCUCUUAAAGUACGUCUCAGUUCGGAUUGUAGGCUGCAACUCGCCUACAUGAAGUCGGAAUCGCUAGUAAUCGCGGAUCAGCACGCCGCGGUGAAUACGUUCCCGGGUCUUGUACACACCGCCC
Molecule: ribosomal RNA, 1342 nt
Filed under: Weissella confusa
Lineage: Bacteria; Bacillati; Bacillota; Bacilli; Lactobacillales; Lactobacillaceae
Description: bacterial SSU rRNA
Rfam family: Bacterial small subunit ribosomal RNA
Source: RNAcentral